UCCGUAGGUGAACCUGCGGAAGGAUCAUUACCGAGUCUCGAGGGGGCGACCCCUCGCACGCUCUCACACACACCUGUGCACCUGUCGCGGGUCUCCGAUGGGGAAAUGGGGGGGAGACCCUGCGGUUUGUCGGACGCGCGUUGGCUCGUCCCACGCCCUUCGUGGCUUUUUGACGUGGGCUGGGCUCAAUGGAAUCGGGAGGGAAAUCGUAACCUUAUACAACUUUCAGCAAUGGAUCUCUUGGCUCUCGCAUCGAUGAAGAACGCAGCGAAUCGCGAUACGUAAUGUGAAUUGCAGAUUUUCAGUGAAUCAUCGAAUCUUUGAAUGCACCUUGCGCUCCUUGGCAUUCCGAGGAGCACGCCUGUCUGAGUGUCGUUUGAAUUCUCGACCGACCCUUCCUUUCGAGGGGACUUCGGCUCGGAUCGUUGGGAGUUCUCUGCCGGACGACGGAGCAAGGGGGGGCGUCGAAGCGUCGGAUUCCUUCCGUCCCUUUGUCGCGCCUUUCCUCUUCGUCUUCGGGCUCUCCUGAAACUCAUGUCCGGGGGGCUGAAGAAGAAGAUCCAAGGGGAUCUUUCGAGGUCGCACAUGUGCCUCUGCUCGUUUGGGUUUGGGUCUCCUCUCCCCGCAGGGCUCGGCGUGAUAGUCUUCGUCGUGUUCCUCCCUCGCGGGGG
This 671-nucleotide ribosomal RNA is filed under the name uncultured fungus. RNAcentral's name for it is "eukaryotic LSU rRNA". The stretch from base 221 to 375 matches the Rfam family "5.8S ribosomal RNA". Lineage: Eukaryota; Fungi. The record is from RNAcentral.